GUGUGAGGUUUUGUUGGAUGAGGCUUGGGGUGAUUUUGAACCUAGAAAAUAAAGAGAAAAGGUGGAUAAAGAAAGGAGGAACGGAUGGCCCAGGAGCUACCAUGCACGCUGACGUUAUUCAUUUCUAGCUUUUAGUUUUAGGCUUGGGGUCAUGGCUUCUCUGCUUCCUACAACUACAACAACACUUCAACAUAAUCGUACCAUCUGCUUCUCUCCUCUCAAACUCAGCAUCCCAAUUGCCAUUUCCUUUCCGACAAACCGUUUCAAGAGUACCUCUGCAAAGUGUAAUGCAGUUUUUGGUGAUACUCCCAAAGACUUGUUGGAGACCACUUUUCACUUGGACCAGUUUUCUGUCUUCCAAUCAGUGUUAGUAAAGUUUCAGCAUGUAACUGAAGAUUUAUCAGACGUGCAGAGGUGGGGGUUUGUGAUACUUGCAGGGCUGACAUGGGCCUAUUUAACUGCGAGGCCGGGUGUCCUUGUGGGCGCCAUUGAUGCAUUCCUUUUGGCCCCUAUUCAACUGGUUUUGGACAGUUUAUCUGGAAGAAGAAAUCUUAAGAGGACUGAUUUUCUUAUUGGAGAUAAACUAGGAGAAGGGUCUUUUGGUGUUGUUUAUUCAGGUGUUUUCGUCCCAAAGAAUGUAGAUGCACAGGAGUUGAUGCAAAAAAAUGGAAGAGGCAAGUUGAAAAAGUUGGAUGCCAAAUCUAAGGAUAAAGUCAUUCUUAAAAAGGUAAAGGUUGGAAUUGAAGGGGCAGAGGAAUUUGGUGAUUUUGAGGAGUGGUUCAAUUACAGACUCUCCAGAGCAGCUCCUGAAACAUGUGCUAAGUUUCUUGGAAGUUUUGUAGCUGACAAAACGAAUUCACAGUUCACAAAAGGUGGAAAAUGGCUAGUUUGGAAGUUUGAGGGAGGGCGCUCUCUUGCCGAUUACAUGGCUGAUCAAAGCUUCCCGUCAAACUUAGAGUCUACCAUGUUUGGACGUGUCUUGCAGAGUGUAGACUCUUCUAAACGAAAUGCAUUAAUCGUCAAGCAAAUAAUGCGCCAGAUCAUUACUUCUCUUAUGAAAAUUCACGACACUGGAAUUGUUCAUAGGGAUGUUAAGCCUGCCAACUUGGUAGUUACCAAACGGGGGCAGAUUAAACUCAUCGAUUUUGGUGCUGCAACAGACCUUAGAAUUGGAAAGAAUUAUGUUCCCAAUCGUAACCCCUUGGACCGUGACUACUGCCCGCCUGAACUGUCUGUUCUACCAGAAGAAACUCUGAGUCUUCCACCAGAGCCAAUUGCAGCUUUCCUUUCACCAAUCAUGUGGCAGUUAAAGAGUCCUGAUCUGUUUGAUAUGUAUUCUGCUGGGAUUGUAUUCCUGCAAAUAGCAAUUCCAACCUUAAGAUCUUCAGUUGCUUUGAAGAAUUUUAAUUUGGAGAUAAGAACUUGUGGAUAUGAUUUGAACAAAUGGAGAGCGUCUACUCGCAUGAGGUCUGACUUCCAAAUUCUUGAUAGUGACUCUGGAAGAGGUUGGGACUUGGCAACAAAGCUUAUCUCCAAGAGAUGCUCACAAUUAAGAGGACGUUUAUCUGCUGCUGCUGCUUUGAGGCAUCCUUAUUUCCUUCUUGGUGGGGAUCAGGCCGCUGCAGUCCUUUCAAAACUAAGCUUUUAAAGCACAAAGUGCGCUGCUUAGAAAUGCUAUGUAUAGUAUACCUAUUUGUUUUGCUCUUUUGAUGAGUACAAGCCAUAUCACUGUUAAUUGAAGUUCUCUGUGGCAAUGUUAUUAAAAAACGUCUCUUUUCUUUCGGAGGAGCUCGUAUGAUAUGGAUAUAAUGGCAUCCGAUCUAAUGCCGACUAAUUUAUAAAUUUACAAGCAGAAAUUUGCAUAUUUUCUAUGUUUAAGCCCGAGAACCUCCAGAAGAUCUGAAGGAAAAAGCUAUGAUAGCUGCCUAGCAUGUUGGCGGUCUAAAUUCAUACAUGCCUUCCAUGUUAUCUGUUUGCCAUUAUGAUAUGACAUAUCUCCUCUCAAAAUCAAUGGCUUAUUCAAAUUCAGGAAGGAGUACUCAAUGGCUUACAAAGGCUUAACAAGCCUUUUCUCAUGAUUUUUUCUUCAAGGGGUAAAUAUUCAGUGUUUGGCAGGACAUGACCAGUAAUGCCAAUGGGUUCAAAAAAUAUAGAACUGAGGAAGAGACAAUCUAUUGCUUUUUUUCUGAUAAGUAAGGAUUUUUUUACUUAUCCAUGAUAUUUACUUUCAAGAUUGGAUGGUUUAUUUAUUCAAUUUCAUUUGACACUUCCAAUCAACCAUUGUUCUUGUGCGAAACUAUUGUUCAGUGUAUUCCAAUCUACAAUUUACUAUAUUUUCCACAAGGCAAUCGGUGUACUUAGCGUCUAUAAUGCUAACUUAUUUAUUUUAUAAAUUGCUAUAUAAUGGUGCACAUGUAUAUAUUCUUAUUGUAAAACAACGAAGAAUGCUGCAGCACUCUUCUAGUUUAAUAUGGUGGUGACCUUGCGUGACCAUAAUGCCACAACAUACAAAUUAAAGCAUUGUUCAUAACAAAAGGUAUGGUGAAUCACAUAUUUAUCCAUGCAUGGUUUUAUAGGACCACAGCAUUACCAUUGGAAACUUUCCACACAUGGUGUUACAGUUCAUCGUGAUAGAGUAUGUUUUUCAACAACUUUUUCUUCUUACAUCCCCAAUUGCAUUUAGUAUUGCACAAGGAAUUGAACAUCGCAAGCCUAGUGGAUUGAAGCUGUAUAAUGUUUGAGGUGGAGGGAGAUUUUGAGAGAACAAUUGCAUAGCCAUCAUCCAUGUUAUCAGUUCCAUCAGGAAAAAAUUGCCACAAAAGGCUUCCAGCCCCACUCCCUCCUUUCUUUGUGGAGUUCAGGAUGGUAUUGUACACACUACUUAUGAGUGUAUCUCUGUAUGAUGAAUUGUAGCCAGGGUCUUUGGAAGAUACACCAAACUCAGCAAAAAUAACUGGCAUUCCAAGAUGCUUUUCAGCAUCCUCUAUGUGGGCUUCCAUCCAUGAUUUUACAAAUGAGAGAUGAGAAUCAGCAAUUUGUUGUGAAAUCCUUCAACCAGAUAGCUGAUUAAGUUAGAACUGUAGUAUAUGUAUGUCAAAAUAAAUCACUAACAAAAAUUAGUGUUUCUGAUACACUAGACAAAUGUGCAUGCAUAUGAAUUUGAUACUGAUAUAAACAGUUCGUAUAAGAAUUUAAUUUAAAUGCAUUGACAGUAUAACUGUCAUCCAAUGACAGGAUGUCAUGUAUGGCAAGUUUGUCCACUUUUAUAAUAAUUACCUUAGAAGUCUAUUUGGUUGACAUCACAUAUUUUCUAUUGGUUGACAAUAUAAAAAUCUUUACACUGACAAAACGUGAAAAAGAAACUCCUUACAUGAACGUUUGACAUAAGUAAGUUUUAUGAAAACUUCAUAUUUUUUUAAUAAAACAAUAGCAAUUCUGAACAGACUUACCAAGAGUCAGCAUAUACAUGAACAGAAGCGAAGUCCACACCAAGAGCCAGGUGGUUCCUUAUAAAAUCAGUUCCAACCUGCGUAGCAUAUGUAUUGGGAUUGAACUGAGUUCUCUGAGGUGUUGAUGGGCCAUAAAAUCCUUCUAGUCCAACCUCUACCAGGUGUUUUGGAUCAAUUUUCUUCACUUGGAAUGCCAUUUCUUGAAUCCAAUCCUAGAAUACACAUUCAAGUGAGUAGUUGGGUUCAGUGAACUAUGUGACAUCAUGGAAAGAACUUGCUAUUAAUUAGAAUGCAAUUGUGUAGUGCGAUGUGAUUAUAUGACAUCACAAAGUGUGUCUAUAUUUUCUUUUCAAUCAAUACCUCUAGACCCUUCCUUGUGAUAUGGAGGCCAAAAGAAAGGGAUAAACCUGUAACUUGUCACCUGUGGGAUCUGAGGUGCAACGAGGCUCAUUCAUCAAUUCCCAAGCAAAAAUUGUUGGAUCCUCCUUGAACUUGCCUUAACAUGGGCCUUGUAGUAGCUUCUAAGAGUUGGAUGUGAGAAGAAGUCAUCAUCAGAGGUCAAGUUAAGGCCAGCAGCAUUUCCCCAUUUCACAUAUUGUGCUUUGCCUCCAUAUGCCUCCCAGUUGUUAGACAAUGAUAAUAUAAGCCUGAUUUUGUAUUUCUUUGCUUCACUCACCACAAAGUCCAGGGCCUGAGAAACCAAUAGUAAAAUGGAAUUACACAAGGUAUGCUAAUUACCUGCACUGAUGACUAGAAACUCAGAAGUUUGAUUGUAGCAUAUUCUUAUUUCAA
Molecule: RNA transcript, 4241 nt
Organism: Vigna angularis (adzuki bean)
Lineage: Eukaryota; Viridiplantae; Streptophyta; Magnoliopsida; Fabales; Fabaceae
Gene name: serine/threonine-protein kinase STN8, chloroplastic
Exons: 6
Source: RefSeq, a predicted model, not a curated record